GUCAAGUCAUCAUGGCCCUUACGCCCAGGGCUACACACGUGCUACAAUGGCAGGGACAGAGGGCUGCAAGGUCGCAAGACGGAGCGAAUCCCAGAAACCCUGUCUAAGUUCGGAUUGUGGGCUGCAACUCGCCCACAUGAAGCCGGAAUCGCUAGUAAUCGCGGAUCAGCUACGCCGCGGUGAAUACGUUCCCGGGCCUU
RNAcentral lists this ribosomal RNA (200 nucleotides) under uncultured organism. RNAcentral describes it as "partial small subunit ribosomal RNA". It matches the Rfam family "Bacterial small subunit ribosomal RNA", at positions 1184 to 1382 of the family's 1533-position model. The record is from RNAcentral.